GUGGGGAAUAUUGGACAAUGGGGGGAACCCUGAUCCAGCCAUGCCGCGUGUGUGAAGAAGGCCUUUUGGUUGUAAAGCACUUUAAGCGAGGAGGAGGCUACCGAGAUUAAUACUCUUGGAUAGUGGACGUUACUCGCAGAAUAAGCACCGGCUAACUCUGUGCCAGCAGUCGCGGUAAUACAGAGGGUGCAAGCGUUAAUCGGAUUUACUGGGCGUAAAUCGCGCGUAGGUGGCCAAUUAAGUCAAAUGUGAAAUCCCCGAGCUUAACUUGGGAAUUGCAUUCGAUACUGGGUGGCUAGAGUAUGGGAGAGGAUGGUAGAAUUCCAGGUGUAGCGGUGAAAUGCGUAGAGAUCUGGAGGAAUACCGAUGGCGAAGGCAGCCAUCUGGCCUAAUACUGACACUGAGGUGCGAAAGCAUGGGGAGCAAACAGGAUUAGAAACCCGAGUAGUCC
This 451-nucleotide ribosomal RNA is filed under the name uncultured bacterium. RNAcentral describes it as "partial 16S ribosomal RNA". It matches the Rfam family "Bacterial small subunit ribosomal RNA", at positions 354 to 796 of the family's 1533-position model. The record is from RNAcentral.